AAACUUUCAACAACGGAUCUCUUGGUUCUCGCAUCGAUGAAGAACGCAGCGAAAUGCGAUAAGUAGUGUGAAUUGCAGAAUUCAGUGAAUCAUCGAAUCUUUGAACGCACAUUGCGCCCUCUGGUAUUCCGGAGGGCAUGCCUGUCCGAGCGUUAUU
This 157-nucleotide ribosomal RNA is filed under the name Nanoscypha tetraspora. RNAcentral describes it as "5.8S rRNA". It matches the Rfam family "5.8S ribosomal RNA". Rfam says of the family: 5.8S ribosomal RNA (5.8S rRNA) is a component of the large subunit of the eukaryotic ribosome. Lineage: Eukaryota; Fungi; Ascomycota; Pezizomycetes; Pezizales; Sarcoscyphaceae. The record is from RNAcentral.